Molecule: ribosomal RNA, 1349 nt
Filed under: metagenome
Description: bacterial LSU rRNA
Rfam family: Bacterial large subunit ribosomal RNA
Source: RNAcentral
ACUAGGGUGAUCCUAUGCUGCCAAGAAAAUCUUCUAGCGAGGUUUGAGCCGCCCGUACCCCAAACCGACUCAGGUGGUUAGGUAGAGAAUACCAAGGCGAUCGAGUGAAUCGUGGUUAAGGAAUUCGGCAAAUCCCCCCGUAACUUCGGGAGAAGGGGGGCCCAGACUCUGAAGUCACUUGCUGACUAGGGGAAAGGGCCGCAGAGACCAGGGAGAAGCGACUGUUUACUAAAAACACAGGUCCGUGCGAAGUCGCAAGACGAUGUAUACGGACUGACGCCUGCCCGGUGCUGGAAGGUUAAGAGGACGGGUUAGAUCUUCGGGUCGAAGCUCAGAAUUUAAGCCCCAGUAAACGGCGGUGGUAACUAUAACCAUCCUAAGGUAGCGAAAUUCCUUGUCGGGUAAGUUCCGACCUGCACGAAUGGCGUAACGACUUCUCCACUGUCUCAACCGCGAACUCGGCGAAAUUGCACUACGAGUAAAGAUGCUCGUUACGCGCAGCAGGACAGAAAGACCCCGGGACCUUCACUAUAGCUUGGUAUUGGUGUUCGGGACGGCUUGUGUAGGAUAGGUGGGAGACUUUGAAGCCGGCACGCCAGUGUCGGUGGAGUCAACGUUGAAAUACCACUCUGGUCGUUCUGGAUGUCUAACCUCGGUCCGUGAUCCGGAUCAGGGACAGUGCCUGGUGGGUAGUUUAACUGGGGCGGUUGCCUCCUAAAAGGUAACGGAGGCGCUCAAAGGUUCCCUCAGCCUGGUUGGCAAUCAGGUGUCGAGUGUAAGUGCACAAGGGAGCUUGACUGCGAGAGAGACAUCUCGAGCAGGGACGAAAGUCGGAACUAGUGACCCGGCGGUGGCUUGUGGAAGCGCCGUCGCUCAACGGAUAAAAGGUACCCCUGGGAUAACAGGCUGAUCUUGCCCAAGAGUCCAUAUCGACGGCAUGGUUUGGCACCUCGAUGUCGGCUCGUCGCAUCCUGGGGGUGGAGUCGCUCCCAAGGGUUGGGCUGUUCGCCCAUUAAAGCGGUACGCGAGCUGGGUUUAGAACGUCGUGAGACAGUUCGGUCCCUAUCCGCUGUGCGCGUAGGAAACUUGAGAAAGGCUGACCCUAGUACGAGAGGACCGGGUUGGAUGAACCUCUGGUGUGUCAGUUGUUCUGCCAAGAGCACCGCUGAUUAGCUACGUUCGGAAGUGAUAACCGCUGAAAGCAUCUAAGCGGGAAGCACGUUUCAAGAUGAGGUUUCCAUGGGGCUUGCCCCGAGAGGCUCCCGGCUAGACUACCGGGUUGAUAGGCCAGACGUGGAAGUGCAGUAAUGCGUGUAGCUGACUGGUACUAAUAAGCCGAUAACUUGAUU